This 487-nucleotide ribosomal RNA is filed under the name uncultured Eubacteriales bacterium. Its description in RNAcentral is "uncultured Clostridiales bacterium partial 16S ribosomal RNA". The record is from RNAcentral. Lineage: Bacteria; Bacillati; Bacillota; Clostridia; Eubacteriales.
CACGUAGUUAGCCGUGGCUUCCUCCUUAGCUACCGUCAUUAUCGUCACUAAGGACAGAGGUUUACAAUCCGAAAACCGUCUUCCCUCACGCGGCGUUGCUGCAUCAGGGUUUCCCCCAUUGUGCAAUAUUCCCCACUGCUGCCUCCCGUAGGAGUUUGGGCCGUGUCUCAGUCCCAAUGUGGCCGUUCACCCUCUCAGGCCGGCUACUGAUCGUCGCCUUGGUGGGCUUCUACCCCGCCAACCAGCUAAUCAGACGCGGAUCCAUCUUACACCACCGGAGUUUUUCACACUGAGCCAUGCGGCUCUGUGCGCUUAUGCGGUAUUAGCACCUAUUUCUAAGUGUUAUCCCCCAGUGUAAGGCAGGUUAUCCACGCGUUACUCACCCGUCCGCCACUAAGUUACGAAUCACUAGGUUCAUCGUAACUCCGUUCGACUUGCAUGUGUUAGCACGCCGCCAGCGUUCAUCCUGAGCCAGGAUACAAACUCU